RNAcentral lists this ribosomal RNA (432 nucleotides) under uncultured bacterium. RNAcentral describes it as "partial 16S ribosomal RNA". It matches the Rfam family "Bacterial small subunit ribosomal RNA", at positions 338 to 795 of the family's 1533-position model. The record is from RNAcentral.
CCUACGGGAGGCAGCAGUGGGGAAUAUUGGACAAUGGGCGCAAGCCUGAUCCAGCCAUGCCGCGUGAGUGAUGAAGGCCUUAGGGUUGUAAAGCUCUUUUAGCAGGGAAGCGGUACCUGCAGAAAAAGCCCCGGCUAACUUCGUGCCAGCAGCCGCGGUAAUACGAAGGGGGCUAGCGUUGCUCGGAAUCACUGGGCGUAAAGCGCACGUAGGCGGCUUCUUAAGUCAGAGGUGAAAUCCUGGAGCUCAACUCCAGAACUGCCUUUGAUACUGAGAAGCUUGAGUCCGGGAGAGGUGAGUGGAACUGCGAGUGUAGAGGUGAAAUUCGUAGAUAUUCGCAAGAACACCAGUGGCGAAGGCGGCUCACUGGCCCGGACUGACGCUGAGGUGCGAAAGCGUGGGGAGCAAACAGGAUUAGAUACCCUUGUAGUC